Pygocentrus nattereri (red-bellied piranha) is the source of this 767-nucleotide long non-coding RNA. RefSeq lists it as uncharacterized. NCBI's taxonomy places the organism in Eukaryota, Metazoa, Chordata, Actinopteri, Characiformes, Serrasalmidae. The record is from RefSeq and is a predicted model, not a curated record. The transcript has 4 exons.
GUAGACAAAUAGGUUAUGGGAAACUUCUCGACCCCUCCUCUCGCUCCCUCUCUCUCUCUCACUCUCACUCUCUCUCUCUCUCUCUCGCUUAUUCGCUCUCUCCUCUUCGCUCGCGCGCCUGGACUCAGCGCCUCUCCGCGCGCGCAGCCCGCACCGGAGCUGAGCAGCAGCGGCAAAGUUUAAAUGGAAUGAACGGAAAUCGUGCGCGCGCUGUGGGACACCGGUCGCCGCGUUUAAUCACCGAGUCCUGCGUGAGACCUGUCUGGAGAGGGAAAAAUACGACCUGGGAAAUAUGACCAUAACUUACCACUAGAAGAGAGGAGGCAGAAUGGAGCUGGCUACAUUAUCUGCCAAUAAAACCAGCAAAAGGUGAGAGACGAGAUGUGAAAUGGCAUCAAGGAUUGCUCUCUAGCAUUGAGAGUAAAGGUGAAGGGUAUCUAUGGACGACCACUCCCAACCCCAUUCCAGACUUUAAGAGUCCAGUAUUUGAAGACAUGAAAUGAAGAGCCAAAAGUCAAGACCUAGCAUACACCUCCGCCAUUUACUCAUCUUUGCCUGUGUGGACUGAUAACAUCAGUUCCUCUGGAUUAUGUCCCAAGUAUAACAUUAUGGAGCACAAUGGCAAACUUCAACAAGUGAAGUGUACAAGAAUCUGUUUUUUUCUGUUUGUGUUUUUCUUUUAUAAAUCUUUACGAGGAAUAAGAUUUCUUGAAUAUGUUUGAUCUGUGCUGUUUACCCAAUAAAUUGUUUAUUUUUCUCAUAGCACA